RNAcentral lists this ribosomal RNA (497 nucleotides) under uncultured bacterium. RNAcentral's name for it is "partial 16S ribosomal RNA". It matches the Rfam family "Bacterial small subunit ribosomal RNA", at positions 28 to 507 of the family's 1533-position model. The record is from RNAcentral.
GAUGAACGCUGGCGGCGUGCCUAAUACAUGCAAGUCGAGCGAACAGACGAGGAGCUUGCUCCUCUGACGUUAGCGGCGGACGGGUGAGUAACACGUGGAUAACCUACCUAUAAGACUGGGAUAACUUCGGGAAACCGGCGCUAAUACCGGAUAAUAUAUUGAACCGCAUGGUUCAAUAGUGAAAGACGGUUUUGCUGUCACUUAUAGAUGGAUCCGCGCCGCAUUAGCUAGUUGGUAAGGUAACGGCUUACCAAGGCAACGAUGCGUAGCCGACCUGAUAGGGUGAUCGGCCACACUGGAACGGAGACACGGUCCAGACUCCUACGGGAGGCAGCAGUAGGGAAUCUUCCGCAAUGGGCGAAAGCCUGACGGAGCAACGCCGCGGGAGUGAUGAAGGUCUUCGGAUCGUAAAACUCUGUGAUUAGGGAAGAACAAAUGUGUAAGUAACUAUGCACGUCUUGACGGUACCUAAUCAGAAAGCCACGGCUAACUACGUG